UUGAAUAUCUCUUUUUCUUAAACGACAGCGUAUUUAUAAACAUUAAAAUUGUUCUCCAUUCAAUUUUCAAUCUGUUUUAAAAUUUAAAACCCUAAUGAAACCAGGUUUUAACAGCUUCUCCUCUUAAAGGACAUUAGAGAGUUCAAUCAAUCAACUCCACAGCUAGCAUAACAAUGUCAGGCGCGGAAGAACUAAAACUCCAAAAAUUCCUACAAUGGCUUGAGGUUUAGUUUUUCUAUAGUUCAUCAUAUUCUGCACUUCUCUUGUACAUUUCUUCUGACAUUUUUUUUUUUGAGUAUUUUAAAN
Molecule: long non-coding RNA, 306 nt
Filed under: Ricinus communis (castor bean)
Lineage: Eukaryota; Viridiplantae; Streptophyta; Magnoliopsida; Malpighiales; Euphorbiaceae
Description: long non-coding RNA (RCOM_LNC000186)
Source: RNAcentral